GCUCGCAUUACAUGGUGGAACUCAACAUCUUCAGUCUUAUAACUUGAACCUUUUUGUUUCAAUCUUGUCUCUGCUGGAACACAUAUUGAAGCUACAAGAAGAAAACUACUCAAAAUCGCUCCCAGCAAUAUAAAACACCACCUCUUCGACCUGAUCCCAGCCAUGAGAUUGGUUAGCUCCCUCCUCUAUCUUCCUAAUAGCAUCAAAUUUGACAAACUCUCAAACCCAAAACUACAACCCAAGCAUUAUCGCUUGGAUCUUACACAUUUUGCGAGUAGAUUGAAAGCAGAAGCUACUCUCACCAACUCAGUAGGUUGAAACGUAAGUGGCAACCAGGGAAUAACCAGACUUCAUCAAAAUCAGACACUUUUUUUGUGAUCACAUCCUAGGUUGAAGUCUAUAAACUCCAGCACCACAAUCAACCAG
RNAcentral lists this unclassified non-coding RNA (426 nucleotides) under Hevea brasiliensis (rubber tree). The record is from RNAcentral. Lineage: Eukaryota; Viridiplantae; Streptophyta; Magnoliopsida; Malpighiales; Euphorbiaceae.